RNAcentral lists this ribosomal RNA (1536 nucleotides) under Streptococcus suis JS14. RNAcentral's name for it is "16S ribosomal RNA". It matches the Rfam family "Bacterial small subunit ribosomal RNA". The record is from RNAcentral. Lineage: Bacteria; Bacillati; Bacillota; Bacilli; Lactobacillales; Streptococcaceae.
AGAGUUUGAUCCUGGCUCAGGACGAACGCUGGCGGCGUGCCUAAUACAUGCAAGUAGAACGCUGAAGUCUGGUGCUUGCACUAGACGGAUGAGUUGCGAACGGGUGAGUAACGCGUAGGUAACCUGCCUCAUAGCGGGGGAUAACUAUUGGAAACGAUAGCUAAUACCGCAUAACAGUAUUUACCGCAUGGUAGAUAUUUUGAAAGGAGCAAUUGCUUCACUAUGAGAUGGACCUGCGUUGUAUUCUCUAGUUGGUGAGGUAACGGCUCACCAAGGCUUCGAUACAUAGCCGACCUGAGAGGGUGAUCGGCCACACUGGGACUGAGACACGGCCCAGACUCCUACGGGAGGCAGCAGUAGGGAAUCUUCGGCAAUGGGGGCAACCCUGACCGAGCAACGCCGCGUGAGUGAAGAAGGUUUUCGGAUCGUAAAGCUCUGUUGUAAGAGAAGAACUGUGAGAAGAGUGGAAAGUUUCUCACUUGACGGUAUCUUACCAGAAAGGGACGGCUAACUACGUGCCAGCAGCCGCGGUAAUACGUAGGUCCCGAGCGUUGUCCGGAUUUAUUGGGCGUAAAGCGAGCGCAGGCGGUUUGAUAAGUCUGAAGUAAAAGGCUGUGGCUUAACCAUAGUACGCUUUGGAAACUGUCAAACUUGAGUGCAGAAGGGGAGAGUGGAAUUCCAUGUGUAGCGGUGAAAUGCGUAGAUAUAUGGAGGAACACCGGUGGCGAAAGCGGCUCUCUGGUCUGUAACUGACGCUGAGGCUCGAAAGCGUGGGGAGCGAACAGGAUUAGAUACCCUGGUAGUCCACGCCGUAAACGAUGAGUGCUAGGUGUUGGGUCCUUUCCGGGACUCAGUGCCGCAGCUAACGCAUUAAGCACUCCGCCUGGGGAGUACGACCGCAAGGUUGAAACUCAAAGGAAUUGACGGGGGCCCGCACAAGCGGUGGAGCAUGUGGUUUUAUUCGAAAGCACGCGAAAAACCCUUACCAGGUCUUGACAUCCCGAUGACCCCCCCUAGAGAUAGGGUUUCUCUUCGGAGCAUUCGUGAAAGGGGGGGGCAUGGUUUGUCCUCAGCUCCGGUCCUGAGAAAGUGGGGUAAAGUCCCCCAACCAGCCCCACCCCCUAUUGUUAGUUGCCCUUCUUUCAUUUGGGCCCCUCUAACCAAGACUUCCCGGAAAAAAAACCCGAAGGAAAGGGGGGGGAAUAAACUCAAAAACCAUCAUGUCCCCCUUUAUAAACCUGGGGGUUAAACCCCCUGUCCUAAAAAAAGGGCUUGGGGAACAAACCAAAGGCCCCAAAAGUUCCGGGUGAAACCGGCCAAAAACAUAAAAAUCUCUUUUUUAAAAAACCCCCACGUCCCCCCAAAAAGUUUCGGGAAAAAUUUGUUGGAGGGGCGCGGCGCGGACACCCUCCCUCCCCCCCCCCUCCCACAACCACAAAAAGAAAGAAAUUAGGAGCCAGCCGCCUAAGGUGGGAUAGAUGAUUGGGGUGAAGUCGUAACAAGGUAGCCGUAUCGGAAGGUGCGGCUGGAUCACCU